AUGCUCACUUCAGCAGCACAUGUACUAAAGUUGGAAUGAUGCAGAGAAGAUUAGCACAGCCCCUGUGCAAGGGUGACACGCAAAUUCAUGAAGCAUUUCUUUUUUUU
Small nuclear RNA from Artibeus jamaicensis (Jamaican fruit-eating bat), 107 nucleotides. Lineage: Eukaryota; Metazoa; Chordata; Mammalia; Chiroptera; Phyllostomidae. The record is from RefSeq and is a predicted model, not a curated record.